This 552-nucleotide ribosomal RNA is filed under the name Saccharomyces cerevisiae (brewer's yeast). Its description in RNAcentral is "partial large subunit ribosomal RNA". It matches the Rfam family "Eukaryotic large subunit ribosomal RNA", at positions 47 to 602 of the family's 3401-position model. Lineage: Eukaryota; Fungi; Ascomycota; Saccharomycetes; Saccharomycetales; Saccharomycetaceae. The record is from RNAcentral.
UAAGCGGAGGAAAAGAAACCAACCGGGAUUGCCUUAGUAACGGCGAGUGAAGCGGCAAAAGCUCAAAUUUGAAAUCUGGUACCUUCGGUGCCCGAGUUGUAAUUUGGAGAGGGCAACUUUGGGGCCGUUCCUUGUCUAUGUUCCUUGGAACAGGACGUCAUAGAGGGUGAGAAUCCCGUGUGGCGAGGAGUGCGGUUCUUUGUAAAGUGCCUUCGAAGAGUCGAGUUGUUUGGGAAUGCAGCUCUAAGUGGGUGGUAAAUUCCAUCUAAAGCUAAAUAUUGGCGAGAGACCGAUAGCGAACAAGUACAGUGAUGGAAAGAUGAAAAGAACUUUGAAAAGAGAGUGAAAAAGUACGUGAAAUUGUUGAAAGGGAAGGGCAUUUGAUCAGACAUGGUGUUUUGUGCCCUCUGCUCCUUGUGGGUAGGGGAAUCUCGCAUUUCACUGGGCCAGCAUCAGUUUUGGUGGCAGGAUAAAUCCAUAGGAAUGUAGCUUGCCUCGGUAAGUAUUAUAGCCUGUGGGAAUACUGCCAGCUGGGACUGAGGACUGCGACGU